RNAcentral lists this ribosomal RNA (482 nucleotides) under uncultured bacterium. RNAcentral describes it as "partial 16S ribosomal RNA". It matches the Rfam family "Bacterial small subunit ribosomal RNA", at positions 30 to 507 of the family's 1533-position model. The record is from RNAcentral.
AUUGAACGCUGGCGGCAUGCCUUACACAUGCAAGUCGAACGGUAACGGGCCUUCGGGUGCCGACGAGUGGCGCACGGGUGAGUAAUACAUCGGAACGUGCCCGAUCGUGGGGGAUAACGAGGCGAAAGCUUUGCUAAUACCGCAUACGAUCUACGGAUGAAAGCAGGGGACCGCAAGGCCUUGCGCGGACGGAGCGGCCGAUGGCAGAUUAGGUAGUUGGUGGGAUAAAAGCCUACCAAGCCGACGAUCUGUAGCUGGUCUAAGAGGAUGAUCAGCCACACUGGGACUGAGACACGGCCCAGACUCCUACGGGAGGCAGCAGUGGGGAAUUUUGGACAAUGGGCGCAAGCCUGAUCCAGCCAUGCCGCGUGCAGGAUGAAGGCCUUCGGGUUGUAAACUGCUUUUGUACGGAACGAAAAGCCUUCUUUUAAUACAGGAGGGUCAUGACGGUACCGUAAGAAUAAGCACCGGCUAACUACGUG